CUAAAGGAGAAACUUUGGUGCAUGGAACAACAUAAUGAGGUCGAAGAAUAAGGUAACUUCUUUUACUUAAUCUAUUUAAUUUUUUUCCUUUUCUAUGCUUAUAUUUAUAUUUAUGUUCAUUGAUUUUAUAUAAAAGAUGUGGGAAUAAGAUAAUAAAUAUUUUAUGAAUUUUGCAAUGCAUUUUCUCUUCAUAGUUGAUGAUAUUUUUUCUUCCUUUUCAUUAUAAUUAUUAUCUAAGCUUUUCGAGAAACUUAUUUCUAUCACUUUAUUUUAAAGUUUAUAAUAUCCAUGUUUCUUCGUUAGUGUUAGAUCUUCCUCACUCUUAUAUAUUUUACAAUUUUGUUUUCAUUUCAUCAUAACUCCCUAUCAACUUAUGUUACAUUUUUGGUCUGGUGGGUUAUCUACUAAAAUGUGUGAGAAGAAGUUCUGUAUUGAAGACGCUAGGUUCUAAUUCUUCCUUCAAAAUAAUUUACAAUCAUAUUUGUAUUCCAUUUUAAGCAAAAAAAAUUUGAUUUUUUGUUGUUGAUAGGUUGAUCAUUGUGAGGUUGAAUCUCAUAAAAAGUUCUAUCCAGAUUUUUUCUCAUCAUAGGGAUAAGGAAUGAGGUGUAUGACUAUCACUCUCAGGAAACAGCUUCUUAUAUUUUGAUAAGCUCUAUCCAGUUAAGUCAGAGGAACUAUGAGGUAUAAAUAUUAUAGUUGGUUAUAUUCAUAUAACGAGACUCAAGUGGUUAUAAUUAUGUUCUUAUUUUAUAAAGCAUUGAUUGCAACAUUUUGGAGAUGCCACGACAAAACCACAUUUCAUACAAUUUGAAUGUUAAGUAAAUAUGUUACAACAAAACCAUAAUAUGUAAGUCAAUGAAUAUUUUACAUUUGUAUGCAACACGAAGAACAAGAAUUUAUAUUAUAGUACUUUUUGAAGAAAAUAGGAGGAGCCCUUACCAUUAUUUAAUAGUUUGCUUGCUUAUACAAAUGUGUGAUAAAUUUGAAUAAGUUAUUUUUUAUAUACACUACUUUAAGACAUGUAUAUAGCCUUAUCACUCUAUAACCCUAAAUAGUUGUAGAAGUGUCAUUUCAUAUAGUUCUUGAAAUACACCUAGAAAGACUCUACCUUGUUUUGUCAUCCCAAAACUGGCUAACUUUAAAGUCAACUUGAAAUCCACCAUCAUUUUUGCUCAUUAAUUGUCUUCGAACAAAAUCCACUAAACAUAGAAAAUUACUUUGACGAUGAUAUUAAAGGUAAAAAAUAUUGUAUAAAUAGAACAUGUAAGAAGAUAAUGACAUAUGGGCAAUAUCUUUAUAAUGAAAAUAUGUUUGACUAAACAAAAUAUUCCUAAUUUUAUUACAAAC
This 1347-nucleotide long non-coding RNA is filed under the name Lupinus angustifolius (narrow-leaved blue lupine). Its description in RNAcentral is "long non-coding RNA (LANG_LNC002818)". Lineage: Eukaryota; Viridiplantae; Streptophyta; Magnoliopsida; Fabales; Fabaceae. The record is from RNAcentral.